This 305-nucleotide ribosomal RNA is filed under the name uncultured bacterium. Its description in RNAcentral is "bacterial SSU rRNA". It matches the Rfam family "Bacterial small subunit ribosomal RNA", at positions 337 to 640 of the family's 1533-position model. The record is from RNAcentral.
UCCUACGGGGGGCAGCAGUGAGGAAUAUUGGUCAAUGGUCGGGAGACUGAACCAGCCAAGCCGCGUGAGGGAUGAAGGUACAGAGUAUCGUAAACCUCUUUUGUCAGGGAGCAAAGGCGGGGACGUGUCCCCGGAUGAGUGUACCUGAAGAAAAAGCAUCGGCUAACUCCGUGCCAGCAGCCGCGGUAAUACGGAGGAUGCGAGCGUUAUCCGGAUUUAUUGGGUUUAAAGGGUGCGCAGGCGGUCUGUUAAGUCAGCGGUCAAAGCCCGGGGCUCAACCCCGGCCCGCCGUUGAAACUGGCAGG